GCCGGUAUAGCUCAAUCGGUAGAGCACCUGAUUUGUAAUCAGGCGGUUGCGGGUUCGAUUCCUGUUGCCGGCUCC
This 75-nucleotide transfer RNA is filed under the name compost metagenome. Its description in RNAcentral is "tRNA-Thr". It matches the Rfam family "tRNA". From Rfam's summary of the family: Transfer RNA (tRNA) molecules are approximately 80 nucleotides in length. Their secondary structure includes four short double-helical elements and three loops (D, anti-codon, and T loops). The record is from RNAcentral.